UUUAACCACGAGUUCGGGUAAAACUUACCUAAACCUAACCCUAAAAGAAACUUGCAAUGAUUCGCGUUUCUCUUCUCCAUUCUUUUUUUUUUUCUCUUUCUUUAUUUUCCACCGUCCAUCUUCUGUUCUCGGCACCUCGUCCUUCCACUCGCGCUAUGCAGCCACCGCUACUAGUUCAGGAUUCCGACACCACGGUGACAAGUGGAGGGAAGAAUGCAAGUUGCGCGAGCUAUGACCACUAGCACAUAUAACAUGUACAUUCAUGAAGGUGUUUCAACGAAGUUGAAUCCUGCCGGGCGCUGGAUUGAUAUCACAUUGGCGAAAAUGGCUUUUCAAUCACUCUUUUCCAAAUACGAAACCGUGCCCUCUUUCUUUUGCACCCUUCUCCAAGACAAGCUCAACCCCACAAGUCUCAACACCAUUAUUGCCAAAACUAGUAAAUGAGAUAUCUGGUCCACUAAGUCACCACCGGUACCCUCACCAUUAGAACUUAAACUCAAUCCACUUUCCCGCCAAAUACCCACUAAAUUGGUGGAAUAGGUCUUGAAGAGGUGCAAGAAUCUUAGCUUCUCAGCCCAAAGAUUCUUUCUUUGGGCUAAAUCAAUUCCAGGUUUUCGGAUCAGUGAUAUGAGGUUCCACAUUUUGGUGGAAAUCUUGGGAAGUUGCAAACAGUUUGCCAUUCUAUGGGAUUUUCUCAUAGAAGUGAGAGACUCUAGUUCAUAUGACAUCAACAGUGAGAUUUUCUGGCUCAUUUUCAAGGCAGGUGGUGCUAUUCGGUCUUUCCAUAGAAUGUAUGAGUUUGGAGUUUUGCCAACUGUUCAUGAUUUUGAUAAGCUUUUACUCUUUAUGCAAAAGGAAGCAUCUCAAGCAAGCUGAACAAUUGUUUGACGAAGUGGAUGGAUCUAGGUACCACGUGACCUACUCCAUCGUUGAGCUUGACAACGACACGAUUGGCUUCCUUAUCAGAAUCGCACCUGUUAUGCAAUUCAAGAAUUGGAAACUAUUAUAAUUGGUGAUAGAACAGCUAUUGAGGCAUGAUGAGACAGAGAUAGAAAGUUGCUGAGGAAGCGGAUACAUGUUUCUCAUAAUACUUUCUCAUUAUUCUCUUUGGACAUCCUAGUAAACCAUUUCAUUAUUCUGCUCCGUCAUCUGGAUGCUACAAAACUGUACCUGAUAUUUGUAUGAAAUAGACAUGCAGAGGAAAUGAUGAAAGAUGAAGGUGUACGUAGCUGAUCAAAUGGAAGGGGAACAAACAUCCAUUAAGAGUUAUGAUUGAAGAAAAGUAUUACUCUAUUGUGAGAUAUGCCUCAUCCUCCACUCCGUCCUCCAAGGAGGUUGGAAAUGACGAAAUGCAGUGGUUCCAAAUCAUGCUUGGUGCAAAAUCUAAAACUACUUUCAGAGAUUAUUUUGUUAUAAAUUUAUAUAAUUUCAUCUUUCAAUUCUUUCCUAGUUGUGUACGUACGAGGUACAAGUAUUCACAUUAAUAAGCUCAUAAAAAUUAAAUUAAAAGAGAAA
This is a long non-coding RNA of Vigna angularis (adzuki bean), 1515 nucleotides long. RefSeq lists it as uncharacterized. The transcript has 3 exons. The record is from RefSeq and is a predicted model, not a curated record. Lineage: Eukaryota; Viridiplantae; Streptophyta; Magnoliopsida; Fabales; Fabaceae.